Trifolium pratense (red clover) is the source of this 455-nucleotide long non-coding RNA. RefSeq lists it as uncharacterized. The record is from RefSeq and is a predicted model, not a curated record. Lineage: Eukaryota; Viridiplantae; Streptophyta; Magnoliopsida; Fabales; Fabaceae. The transcript is spliced from 2 exons.
AAAAUGUUUUAUUUCUUAAAAUGAAUAAAAAAAAGAAGUUUAAGUUCCUUUUCAAAAUAUAUAUAUAACUAAAAUCAACAUAUUGAAGAUGAGGAUAAACCAUAAAUAACUUAAAUAAAGUGUUCCAGAUCAUCCGAAAGCCUAACACACAUGAAGGCCCAUCAAAAUGGGAUAAGCACAAUCACGUGGCACAAUGACCACAGAACCAAGGCAAUGACUUUUGAAGUUGUGACUCGAAAGCAGAUUUUGUUCAGAAUUUGGGGGACAUACCUUCACUAAAACGGGACGGACCCGGGGGGCAAGCAGGGGCUCCAACCCCCUCCCUAUGCAUAUAUGAGUUGCUAAUGACACCUAUUAAUUUACACACUUUUGUGUUAGGUGCUUCUAAAUAAAUUAUUGUGAUUUUAUAUCUUAUAAUUUUGAGUUAAAUAUAUUUUUUGUCUUUAUAAAAUUAA